CGGGCAGUGAAGGAAUCAGGAAGCUUUUGAGGAGCAGCUUCCCACACCCAGAGCCGACCUGGGCUGAAAUAACAGGGGUGGACCCACAUCACUUCUGCACGCUUGCCGUGCCUGCUGCCACUCUCUCCCGUUUAUCUGUCACAAGAGUUUCCCCAGUAAAUCUCCUGAACAUCUAAUGUUGCCUUGGCAUUUGCCUCUCAGAGGAUCCAGCCUACCGUCUCCUCUUAGCUGGAGAUGUGUUCACAGAUGACCAGCAAAUAAGACCCUCGUCCUUCACUUCCCGCUGCAAAAGAGCAACCUGGGAGGACCAGCAUUUGUGUACUGGAUCCCCAGAUGAAAAAACUAAGAAUUAAAAGAAUUUAAAGUCACGUGCCCAAUACUGCCCAACAGAGUCCAACAGUGCAAAGAUGGCUCUUACGGGAGCCCCCUUGGCGAGCUGAGCGUGUGGCACUUGGGAAAGAUCCCGUGAAGUUAGCACUGCAUCCAAAUGCUACUGCUGCUACUGAGUGCGUGACCCUCACUCAGCAGCUCUGACCUUCAUCUUUCUUAUCACAAAAUGCAAUGAGUAAUAGUCCUGCAUCAAUGUAAGGAUUGAUGUAAAAGUCAAAUGAGCUAAAGUCCUCCACUUCACUCCAUCCAUGUCCUAGGACCAGUAACACAGGCAUUGCCUUUUAGAAAUGCAGCAACUCAGACCCACCCAACCAGCUGAAUCAGAAUCUGCCUUUCCCAAGCUCCCCAGGUGUGCGUGAGUGUGUGGGCAGCACUGCCCUAGCGCCCUGCCCAGCACCUAACAGCUGCUGAAUAAAUAAUAGCUAUUAUUGUUAUCAGUUAUUGAGGGUCCAACCCUCAAAUAGCUCACGAAUAACUCAUGUGAGCACACAGGCCUAUGAGGAAGAUAAGCCAGACAUUCUGCAAGGAGAGAAGACGGAGCAGCUGCCACAGUUUAGGGCCCUUGGACAAAGCUGUAGACCCGACUUCCUUCCUUCGUUUCUCUGCUUUAAUAAUGUCCUUUCUUUCUUGAAUCAAUGUUACCUUAUUUCUGUGCUGAUUGUGCUCCAGGCUCUCUGUCCUGGGCCCUGGGGAGAGAAAGCCACAUAAAGUCAUCACCCUUGACUCAAGUCAUUUACACCUUAAUCAGAGACACAUAAACCAAUAAUCACAAAACGAGUUAUGGUACCGAUGGAAGCCAAUAGACCACCAACUGGUGUCAGGAAGGAUGGUUGAGGAGGCCAGAGGGAGAGGUUAACACAGACCUUUCCAAGGCAGAGAAAAGGUGGAGAACACUUUGCCGGUUCCUAUCAUGCAUGCCCACUUUCUCCCUCUCUGUCUCUCCCUCUCCAUCUCUCCUUCUCUGCCUUUCUCUCUCCACACAGCUCAGUCAUAUAAUAUAUAAAUCUGUAUAUUGUCUUUUCAGUUAAUGUUAUUACAUAGCAAUGGUCCUAUAUGUAACUGGUAUGGUGAAUAAAUAGGACU
Long non-coding RNA from Hippopotamus amphibius kiboko, 1473 nucleotides. RefSeq lists it as uncharacterized. The record is from RefSeq and is a predicted model, not a curated record. The transcript has 4 exons. Lineage: Eukaryota; Metazoa; Chordata; Mammalia; Artiodactyla; Hippopotamidae.